This 240-nucleotide unclassified non-coding RNA is filed under the name soil metagenome. RNAcentral's name for it is "partial contains 5.8S ribosomal RNA, internal transcribed spacer 2, and large subunit ribosomal RNA". The record is from RNAcentral.
AACACUGUUAACCUGCGGUACCUGCGGAGGGAUCAUUACUGAGUCACGUGCUCAAACAACCCUUCUGCGGACCUGAAAUAAAACCGUUGCCUCGGCGGGCGGUCCCCCCCAAGCCAACCCCACGUGGUGGGUUAGGGGAGACCAGACAGUCCGGUACGCUUAAGGCGUCCGGCGCCAGCCGCUGGCCCCAAACAAUUAAACUCUAGUAACCUUUACCUUCUGAGUUUCAAUAUUUAAAAA